CGCGGCCUAUCAGCUUGUUGGUGAGGUAACGGCUCACCAAGGCAUCGACGGGUAGCUGGUCUGAGAGGAUGAUCAGCCACACUGGGACUGAGACACGGCCCAGACUCCUACGGGAGGCAGCAGUGGGGAAUAUUGCACAAUGGGCGAAAGCCUGACGCAGCAACGCCGCGUGGGGGAUGAAUGCCUUCGGGUUGUAAACCCCUUUCAGCAGGGACGAAAAUGACGGUACCUGCAGAAGAAGCUCCGGCCAACUACGUGCCAGCAGCCGCGGUAAUACGUAGGGAGCGAGCGUUGUCCGGAAUUAUUGGGCGUAAAGAGCUCGUAGGCGGUUCAGUAAGUCGGGUGUGAAAACUCGAGGCUCAACCUUGAGACGCCACUCGAUACUGCUGUGACUUGAGUCCGGUAGAGGAGUGUGGAAUUCCUGGUGUAGCGGUGAAAUGCGCAGAUAUCAGGAGGAACACCAGCGGCGAAGGCGGCACUCUGGGCCGGUACUGACGCUGAGGAGCGAAAGCAUGGGGAGCAAACAGGAUUAGAUACCCUGGUAGUCCAUGCCGUAAACGUUGGGCACUAGGUAUGGGAUCAUAUCAACGGAUUCCGUGCCGUAGCUAACGCAUUAAGUGCCCCGCC
This 627-nucleotide ribosomal RNA is filed under the name uncultured Actinomycetes bacterium. RNAcentral's name for it is "bacterial SSU rRNA". It matches the Rfam family "Bacterial small subunit ribosomal RNA", at positions 232 to 873 of the family's 1533-position model. The record is from RNAcentral. Lineage: Bacteria; Bacillati; Actinomycetota; Actinomycetes.